UUUAUAGUAGUAAAGUUUUCUAAACUUUUGGUCAUUAUGAACUAUAAGU
Molecule: transfer RNA, 49 nt
Filed under: Meloidogyne enterolobii
Lineage: Eukaryota; Metazoa; Nematoda; Chromadorea; Rhabditida; Meloidogynidae
Description: tRNA-Ser
Source: RNAcentral